This 495-nucleotide ribosomal RNA is filed under the name uncultured bacterium. RNAcentral's name for it is "bacterial SSU rRNA". It matches the Rfam family "Bacterial small subunit ribosomal RNA", at positions 28 to 480 of the family's 1533-position model. The record is from RNAcentral.
GACGAACGCUGGCGGCGUGCCUAAUACAUGCAAGUCGAACGCACUCUCGUUUAGAUUGAAGGAGCUUGCUCCUGAUUGAUAAACAUUUGAGUGAGUGGCGGACGGGUGAGUAACACGUGGGUAACCUGCCCUAAAGUGGGGGAUAACAUUUGGAAACAGAUGCUAAUACCGCAUAAAACCUAAACACCGCAUGGUGUAGGGUUGAAAGAUGGUUUCGGCUAUCACUUUAGGAUGGACCCGCGGUGCAUUAGUUAGUCGGUGAGGUAAAGGCUCACCAAGACCGUGAUGCAUAGCCGACCUGAGAGGGUAAUCGGCCACACUGGGACUGAGACACGGCCCAGACUCCUACGGGAGGCAGCAGUAGGGAAUCUUCCACAAUGGACGAAAGUCUGAUGGAGCAAACGCCGCGUGAGUGAAGAAGGUUUUCGGAUCGUAAAACUCUGUUGUUGGAGAAGAAUGUAUCUGAUAGUAACUGAUCAGGUAGUGACGGUAUCC